UACGUAGGGGGCAAGCGUUGUCCGGAAUUAUUGGGCGUAAAGAGCGUGUAGGCGGUCCGGUAAGUCCGCUGUGAAAGUCCAGGGCUCAACCCUGGAAUGCCGGUGGAUACUGCCGGGCUAGAGUCCGGAAGAGGCGAGUGGAAUUCCUGGUGUAGCGGUGAAAUGCGCAGAUAUCAGGAAGAACACCCGUGGCGAAGGCGGCUCUCUGGGACGGUACUGACGCUGAGACGCGAAAGCGUGGGGAGCGAACAGG
This 253-nucleotide ribosomal RNA is filed under the name uncultured bacterium. RNAcentral describes it as "partial 16S ribosomal RNA". It matches the Rfam family "Bacterial small subunit ribosomal RNA", at positions 524 to 776 of the family's 1533-position model. The record is from RNAcentral.